RNAcentral lists this microRNA precursor (229 nucleotides) under Capsicum annuum. RNAcentral's name for it is "mir-166 microRNA precursor family". It matches the Rfam family "mir-166 microRNA precursor family". From Rfam's summary of the family: This family represents the plant microRNA (miRNA) precursor mir-166. Animal miRNAs are transcribed as ~70nt precursors and subsequently processed by the Dicer enzyme to give a ~22nt product. The record is from Rfam by way of RNAcentral. Lineage: Eukaryota; Viridiplantae; Streptophyta; Magnoliopsida; Solanales; Solanaceae.
GUUGAGGAGAGUGAUGUCUGGUUCGAAAUCAUUUUAUAGAAAGUUAGUGAGGAUCGAUCGAUCCAAUUAUUGGUGUCUGGGUCAUUGAACUUUAUGUAUGUAUGAAAAGUAAGUACAGUAUGUAUCUUUUAAACCAUAGAGAUGUCUAAAUUCUAGAUCCGUCACAGAUUAGAUUGUUUGAUCAAUCAAUUUGAUGAGUGAUUUCGAACCAGGCUUCAUUCCCCUCAAC